AACAGACCAUAAAUGUUAUUUUCAGCAUUUGUUUUCCUUCACACUCUGUGAAGCCUCUGUGACCAAUGAACAGGUGAAGGAAAAGAAACAUGACGACAAACUGAAGACACACAACUUUGUCUUUUCACAUCACCAAACACCAAGGAGGUGAUGUCACUCUGUCCUGAGCUUACACGCACCCCCCCCCCCCCCCCCCCUUACACACAGACGUACAGUCACACACCUAAACUCCCCCUUCACUCACUCACACACACCCACAGUCGGAGACAGACUGAACGGACUGGUUUUGUUGCUCAGUGUGACGGAGACACAAACAAAUGAACUUGAUGUAUGAAUGAACUUUCUUGGAAGGUGCCUCCUGUGCUGUUGUCUUUACAGAGAAGUCGGAAAAACACCCAGAGUUUCCCAGAGACUGGGUCGCGACCCUCAGGUGGGUCGCAAGGGUUUUGGGUUUUUUUUUUGGGGUUGUCACGGUCAUCGCAUCCAACAGCUGUCUGCAUCCAACAGCUGUCUGCAUCCAACCUCAGAAUAGCUGCCAGUUUAAAAGCUGUCGACCAAUGAAUACACGGCAGUAGACGGCUAUAUAAAUCCUCCUCUGUUGUCUCCAAACUGGCUACUCUGGAUCUUCUGGUCUUUGGACGCUCUGUGGUUUUACGUGUUUAUUGACACACAACACACAGAGAUCGAGGCCUGUUGAUAGUGACCACUCCCACUGUUAGUCCUGUCACCAACCACUGUGGUAUUUUUCUAGAACCUUUCUGUUCUGUUUCUGGGAAGCUGCUUUUAGUCGCUUUAAUCUGAAUGAUG
Cynoglossus semilaevis (tongue sole) is the source of this 807-nucleotide long non-coding RNA. RefSeq lists it as uncharacterized. The record is from RefSeq and is a predicted model, not a curated record. The transcript is spliced from 2 exons. Lineage: Eukaryota; Metazoa; Chordata; Actinopteri; Pleuronectiformes; Cynoglossidae.